This is a long non-coding RNA of Anneissia japonica, 195 nucleotides long. RefSeq lists it as uncharacterized. Lineage: Eukaryota; Metazoa; Echinodermata; Crinoidea; Comatulida; Comatulidae. The transcript has 2 exons. The record is from RefSeq and is a predicted model, not a curated record.
GUUAGCAAGAAACACUCUGGUUGUUUGCUGAAACUUGUAAUGAAAGCUAUACACACAAUUUAAGGAGCAAAUGACUGGCUCAGAUGGAUGUGAUACAAACAAUUCCAUCUGUGUGGACAUGAUGAAAUGGACAUGCCCAAUCCAUGGUUAGCAGAAGGUGGCGAUGCUCAGAGCUCUGCAGCAAGUGAUUGAAUC